GACGAACGCUGGCGGCGUGCUUAACACAUGCAAGUCGAACGGAAAGGCCCUGCUUUUGUGGGGUGCUCGAGUGGCGAACGGGUGAGUAACACGUGAGUAACCUGCCCUUGACUUUGGGAUAACUUCAGGAAACUGGGGCUAAUACCGGAUAGGAGCUCCUGCUGCAUGGUGGGGGUUGGAAAGUUUCGGCGGUUGGGGAUGGACUCGCGGCUUAUCAGCUUGUUGGUGGGGUAGUGGCUUACCAAGGCUUUGACGGGUAGCCGGCCUGAGAGGGUGACCGGCCACAUUGGGACUGAGAUACGGCCCAGACUCCUACGGGAGGCAGCAGUGGGGAAUAUUGCACAAUGGGCGGAAGCCUGAUGCAGCAACCCCGCGUGCGGGAUGACGGCCUUCGGGUUGUAAACCGCUUUCGCCUGUGACGAAGCGUGAGUGACGGUAAUGAGUAAAGAAGCACCGGCUAACUACGUG
Molecule: ribosomal RNA, 468 nt
Filed under: uncultured bacterium
Lineage: Bacteria
Description: partial 16S ribosomal RNA
Rfam family: Bacterial small subunit ribosomal RNA
Source: RNAcentral